This 461-nucleotide ribosomal RNA is filed under the name uncultured bacterium. Its description in RNAcentral is "bacterial SSU rRNA". It matches the Rfam family "Bacterial small subunit ribosomal RNA", at positions 29 to 507 of the family's 1533-position model. The record is from RNAcentral.
AGUUAACGCUGGCGGCGUGCCUAACACAUGCAAGUCGAGCGAGCUUGUAGCAAUACAAGUUAGCGGCAAACGGGUGAGUAACACAUGGGAAACCUCCCUCAGAAUGGGGAACAUCUCCGAGAAAUCGGAGCUAAUACCGCAUAAGACCACAGUCCGGCAUCGGACAGGGGUAAAAGCAGCAAUGCGUUUUGAGAUGGUCCUGUGUCCUAUCAGCUAGUUGGUGAGGUAACGGCUCACCAAGGCUAAGACGGGUAUCCGGCCUGAAAGGGUGAACGGACACACUGGAACUGAGACACGGUCCAGACUCCUACGGGAGGCAGCAGUGGGGAAUUUUGGACAAUGGGGGAAACCCUGAUCCAGCGACGCCGCGUGAAGGAUGAAGGCCUUCGGGUUGUAAACUUCUUUUGGAGGGGACGAAUAAAUUGACGGUACCCUCAGAAAAAGCCACGGCUAACUACGUG